AAGAAAAAUGUAGUUGUGCAAAUCUAUG
Molecule: microRNA, 28 nt
Filed under: Xenopus laevis (African clawed frog)
Lineage: Eukaryota; Metazoa; Chordata; Amphibia; Anura; Pipidae
Description: xla-mir-19a-3p
Source: RNAcentral